UGGAUCCAGACUUUGAUCAUGGCUCAGGAUGAACGCUAGCUACAGACUUAACACAUGCAAGUCGAGGGGAAACGACAUCGAAAGCUUGCUUUUGAUGGGCGUCGACCGGCGCACGGGUGAGUAACGCGUAUCCAACCUGCCCACCACUUGGGGAUAACCUUGCGAGAGUAAGACUAAUACCCAAUGACGUCUCUAGAAGACAUCUGAAAGAGAUUAAAGAUUUAUCGGUGAUGGAUGGGGAUGCGUCUGAUUAGCUUGUUGGCGGGGUAACGGCCCACCAAGGCGACGAUCAGUAGGGGUUCUGAGAGGAAGGUCCCCCACAUUGGAACUGAGACACGGUCCAAACCCCUACGGGAGGCAGCAGUGAGGAAUAUUGGUCAAUGGACGAGAGUCUGAACCAGCCAAGUAGCGUGCAGGAUGACGGCCCUAUGGGUUGUAAACUGCUUUUAUAAGGGAAUAAAGUGAGUCUCGUGAGACUUUUUGCAUGUACCUUAUGAAUAAGGACCGGCUAAUUCCGUGCCAGCAGCCGCGGUAAUACGGAAGGUCCGGGCGUUAUCCGGAUUUAUUGGGUUUAAAGGGAGCGUAGGCCGGAGAUUAAGCGUGUUGUGAAAUGUAGACGCUCAACGUCUGCACUGCAGCGCGAACUGGUUUCCUUGAGUACGCACAAAGUGGGCGGAAUUUGUGGUGUAGCGGUGAAAUGCUUAGAUAUCACGAAGAACUCCGAUUGCGAAGGCAGCUCACCGGAGCGCAACUGACGCUGAAGCUCGAAAGUGCGGGUAUCGAACAGGAUUAGAUACCCUGGUAGUCCGCACGGUAAACGAUGGAUGCCCGCUGUUGGUCUGAAUAGGUCAGCGGCCAAGCGAAAGCAUUAAGCGUCCCACCUGGGGAGUACGCCGGCAACGGUGCAACUCAAAGGAAUUGACGGA
RNAcentral lists this ribosomal RNA (926 nucleotides) under uncultured Bacteroidota bacterium. RNAcentral's name for it is "bacterial SSU rRNA". It matches the Rfam family "Bacterial small subunit ribosomal RNA", at positions 1 to 917 of the family's 1533-position model. The record is from RNAcentral. Lineage: Bacteria; Pseudomonadati; Bacteroidota.